This 334-nucleotide unclassified non-coding RNA is filed under the name uncultured Glomeraceae. RNAcentral's name for it is "sequence contains 18S rRNA gene". Lineage: Eukaryota; Fungi; Glomeromycota; Glomeromycetes; Glomerales; Glomeraceae. The record is from RNAcentral.
CCCAACUAUCCCUAUUAAUCAUUACGUAGAUCCUAGAAACCAACAAAAUAGGAUCAAUCGUCCUAUUUCAUUAUUCCAUGCUAAUGUAUUCAAGCGUUAGCCUGCUUUAAACACUCUAAUUUUUUCAAAGUAACAGUUCCGAUUCCUUGCGACACCAAAUUAAUGACAUCACGGCUCCUCGGAAAGGAGGAACCAACAAAACCAGUACGUACCGUAGGCACGACCAGCAAAUUGAUCCCGAAAUUCAACUACGAGCUUUUUAACUGCAGCAACUUUAAUAUACGCUAUUGGAGCUGGAAUUACCGCGGCUGCUGGCACCAGACUUGCCCUCCAA